ACUUUACUGUGGUUCUGUUGGUAGAGCAUUGCCCAGUCAUUGCAAAGGUCGUGGGUUCAAAUCCCAGGGAAAGCG
Non-coding RNA from Danionella cerebrum, 75 nucleotides. Lineage: Eukaryota; Metazoa; Chordata; Actinopteri; Cypriniformes; Danionidae. The record is from the annotation of a GenBank genome assembly.